RNAcentral lists this unclassified non-coding RNA (373 nucleotides) under uncultured fungus. RNAcentral describes it as "partial contains small subunit ribosomal RNA, internal transcribed spacer 1, and 5.8S ribosomal RNA". The stretch from base 1 to 73 matches the Rfam family "Eukaryotic small subunit ribosomal RNA", at positions 1759 to 1831 of the family's 1831-position model. Lineage: Eukaryota; Fungi. The record is from RNAcentral.
GCAAACUUGGUCAUUUAGAGGAAGUAAAAGUCGUAACAAGGUUUCCGUAGGUGAACCUGCGGAAGGAUCAUUACAAAUGCCAAAGGCCGAACUCGUGAGGCUUGCGGAUUACACCACCGAUCCAUCCGUCCCGGCCCUCGCGGGCAGGCGCGGGUGUGGUUACUGUGUCCACCCUUUGUGAAACUCAGAAACUUGCUUCGGCAGCGCCAUGUCGUGAUCAGGCAGAUCCGGCAAGGGUAAGGCUGCCAGAAGCCCCUUUAAAACUAGUCGAUGAAAUGUCAUGCAGUCUUAGAAACUAUUAUUUGAGAUAUCAAAUAUUUUCAAAACUUUCAGCAACGGAUCUCUUGGUUCCCGCAUCGAUGAAGAACGCAGC